RNAcentral lists this ribosomal RNA (253 nucleotides) under uncultured bacterium. RNAcentral describes it as "partial 16S ribosomal RNA". It matches the Rfam family "Bacterial small subunit ribosomal RNA", at positions 524 to 776 of the family's 1533-position model. The record is from RNAcentral.
UACGUAGGGUGCGAGCGUUAAUCGGAAUUACUGGGCGUAAAGCGUGCGCAGGCGGUUUUGUAAGCCAGAUGUGAAAUCCCCGGGCUUAACCUGGGAAUGGCAUUCGAGACUGUGUAGCUAGGAUGCGGAAGAGGGAAGCGGAAUUUCCGGUGUAGCGGUGAAAUGCGUAGAUAUCGGAAGGAACACCAGUGGCGAAAGCGGCUUCCUGGUCCAGCAUCGACGUUCAGGCACGAAAGCGUGGGGAGCAAACAGG